UACGAAGGGAGCUAGCGUUGUUCGGAAUCACUGGGCGUAAAGCGCACGUAGGCGGAUGUGUCAGUCAGGGGUGAAAUCCCGGAGCUCAACUUCGGAACUGCCUUUGAUACAGCAUGUCUUGAGUCCGAUAGAGGUGGGUGGAAUUCCUAGUGUAGAGGUGAAAUUCGUAGAUAUUAGGAAGAACACCGGUGGCGAAGGCGGCCCACUGGUCCGGUACUGACGCUGAGGUGCGAAAGCGUGGGGAGCAAACAGG
This 253-nucleotide ribosomal RNA is filed under the name uncultured bacterium. RNAcentral describes it as "partial 16S ribosomal RNA". It matches the Rfam family "Bacterial small subunit ribosomal RNA", at positions 524 to 776 of the family's 1533-position model. The record is from RNAcentral.